This 656-nucleotide long non-coding RNA is filed under the name Ananas comosus (pineapple). RNAcentral's name for it is "long non-coding RNA (ACOM_LNC016300)". The record is from RNAcentral. Lineage: Eukaryota; Viridiplantae; Streptophyta; Magnoliopsida; Poales; Bromeliaceae.
UUUUUAACUUCCAAGAAAAUUAGAGGUCUAAAAAGGUCUCGAUAAAAAAAGGGUUAAUUGCAUACAGCUUCCUGUAAACAUAUCAAAUAGUUGAUAUAAUAAAGUUCAACUUUUUAUUUUUAUCCCUGCAUAAGUUCUACCGUUUUUAAAUAUGCUCCUAUUAUUAGGAUUCGUUAGAAAUAUAUAAUUAACUACGAGAAAAAAUACUUAACCCUGGUUAGUGGAUAAGUUAAAUUGACUUUUUUAUUCUUCUUACAUUAUUGGUAAAAUAUUUUUUUGGAAUGACAUUUUUGCAUAAUUUUAAGAGUUGGGGCUUUUGAAAGGAUAUAUUUGUAAGGGCAAAAAUAUCAUUUUACUUAACUGGUGUUAAAAAAUAAACAGUACUCUAACGGUAACAAAUCAGAGGGACAAAUAUGAAUAUCACUGACUUUUGUAGGGAUAAAAAUAAAAAAUUAAACUUUAUAGAGAUAUAUUUACUAUUCGAUAUAUUUACAUGGAGCUAUAUGUAAUUAAUCCUAAAAAAAUGUAAGUUGAAGGAGACAUUUCUUCCCACUUGACUAUUAUUCCGGUGAUGGAACUUUUUGAAGCUGAAUUUGGGACAUUCUUGAGCGCAUAAUAGGUUGGGAGACUAAGAAAAAUCUACAAGUCUAAUGAUU